UUAAAAUAUAGGAAAUUAGAAAAGUAGUAGAUGCAUUUGUUUUUAGCGAGCUUGUGGUUGGUGGAAAUAAGCAGCAAAUCUUUACGAAAUUGGGCUAAUUGAUAAAAUGAAUUUGAAACAAUAAGAAUUCGGUAGGCACACCUUACAGUGCAGCUUGUUUGAUGACAAGAUAGAGACAUGGGAAAUAUUUGCUAUUUUCCAUAAUUGAGGUGGCACCGCGAUUUACGCCCUCACA
This 235-nucleotide non-coding RNA is filed under the name Streptococcus sanguinis. RNAcentral describes it as "T-box leader". It matches the Rfam family "T-box leader". Rfam says of the family: Uncharged tRNA acts as the effector for transcription antitermination of genes in the T-box leader family. Lineage: Bacteria; Bacillati; Bacillota; Bacilli; Lactobacillales; Streptococcaceae. The record is from RNAcentral.